This 1382-nucleotide long non-coding RNA is filed under the name Scleropages formosus (Asian bonytongue). RNAcentral's name for it is "lncRNA (ENSSFOG00015027579.1)". The record is from RNAcentral. Lineage: Eukaryota; Metazoa; Chordata; Actinopteri; Osteoglossiformes; Osteoglossidae.
AUGUAAUAUGAUGUAUCAUGUCGUGUUAAGCGGUAAAACGCUGGUAUUUUUAAACUGGUGUACUCUGUUAGUGUGUCCUCCCUCUGACGCAGUUCCUCCAUCCACUUUUUUACAGCGGUGCUCCGAGGAAUUUGGUGCUGCAUGUGACAGCGUACAACUUAUUUGCGGCUAUUCAGAUGUCCGCGCGUGAAAAAGUGCGCGUCUGUCAUCGAUCCGGGCCGUUUUGCGCGAAUGAAAAUGUCACGGAGACGGAGCUGAGAGCGCCGAGCCUCGCGCCGCCGCCGCCGAUACGCGCGCUGGCGGUGCGCGCUGCGCGCGCGCGCCACUCCACUCCAAAUUUACAGGCAUGAAAUUGGUGUGAAGCCGCAAAGCAGGCAGGAUGGCGCGCGGCAAGCCCGUCCUGGGCUCCCCGGGCACAUGCACGGAGGAGGCAUGGAAAAAGAUGAUGGAAAAGAAAGAUGGAAGUGAUGCAGCACGGGAAAGGGAGGCAAGGCUGCGGAUAAGAACCUUUUGCUCAUGGGUGCAACAGAAGGAGGUGGGAUUCCAGUGUGGCUCCUUCGAGUGCAGUGCAGCAGCACUGACCGCCACGCCACCUGCUGAUGGACGUCCGUGCUAUAGUAUAAGGAUGUAUAUCCCUUACACACUCCAGCUGUUUUAUUAGAAUUUUUUGCAAAUAUUGUGAUUUAUUGUCUUUUUGAAAAAGUGCACAGAAGAAAAAGGUUUACAUUUUGCACCAGACAACUAACAACAAUGGAAAAAGCGGAAAUAUACACACACGUAAACAUGUAGCAUGGAGUAACACUCCCUGGAAUUUUCUUCUCUAGCCCAGUUCACUCACACAUGCUACACAUUUAGUGGAAGGAGAACAUGGUCAUGCAUUCUUGUAUUAGAAGCUGACCCUAAAAUCCUCCACUUUACACCUGUUCCUGUGAAGGAAAAAGCGCAAGAACCAGAUCCAGUACCUCCUCUCUGGCAGCGUCGUACUGGAAUCCGCUGAAUUCAGACCUGGUUUAAAGAUGGAAAAAUGACGCUGAACCACUGACUGCAGGUAACAUUCACUGUCCUGUACAAAUAAGAAUAUAUUCACAUCAUAUGCAACAAAAUCCUCCUGAAUGUGAUUUCUUAUGUAUAGUGUGCUUUCUUUCAUUAGGUUAUUUAUUUAUUUAUUUGUUGUUAUUACUAUACUAAUAAUAAUGGGGUUUUUUUUGGAACUGCCAUUUCUGUGCAGUGUGGUAGUCUCAGAUGAUACCUGUACAUAUGCGCACAUACAUUCUGUAGAAAUACAUAAAAUAAUGGCUGCGCAGGUAACAAAUCCAGUCUGAAGCGCCAUGCCAUACGUUAAAUCAAGGUCUACAGGCAAAUAAAUAUGCAAAACAGCUCCA